UGAGUAACGCGUAUGCGACCUGCCCGUUGCAGGGGGAUAAUCGGGAGAAAUCCCGUCUAAUACCGCGUAACGCCGCGGGGCUGCAUGGCCCUGCGGCCAAAGGGAGCGAUUCCGGCAACGGAUGGGCAUGCGUGACAUUAGCUAGUUGGCGGGGCAACGGCCCACCAAGGCGACGAUGUCUAGGGGUUCUGAGAGGAAGGUCCCCCACACUGGUACUGAGACACGGACCAGACUCCUACGGGAGGCAGCAG
This 251-nucleotide ribosomal RNA is filed under the name uncultured bacterium. Its description in RNAcentral is "partial 16S ribosomal RNA". It matches the Rfam family "Bacterial small subunit ribosomal RNA", at positions 107 to 354 of the family's 1533-position model. The record is from RNAcentral.